UUCCAUGGCGGGCGGUGCGUGGGGGCGCUUGCGCCCGCCGGUAUCAGCAUCUCCCGGUCUUUGCCGCCACGUACCGUCCGCCACCUCU
This 88-nucleotide non-coding RNA is filed under the name Stenotrophomonas maltophilia. Lineage: Bacteria; Pseudomonadati; Pseudomonadota; Gammaproteobacteria; Lysobacterales; Lysobacteraceae. The record is from RNAcentral.